UACCGGAUAGUAAAGCAGAUCGCAUGAUCAGCUUUUGAAAGGCGGCGUAAGCUGUCGCUAAGGGAUGGCCCCGCGGUGCAUUAGCUAGUUGGUAAGGUAACGGCUUACCAAGGCGACGAUGCAUAGCCGAGUUGAGAGACUGAUCGGCCACAUUGGGACUGAGACACGGCCCAAACUCCUACGGGAGGCAGCAGUAGGGAAUCUUCCACAAUGGACGCAAGUCUGAUGGAGCAACGCCGCGUGAGUGAAGAAGGUUUUCGGAUCGUAAAGCUCUGUUGUUGGUGAAGAAGGAUAGAGGUAGUAACUGGCCUUUAUUUGACGGUAAUCAACCAGAAAGUCACGGCUAACUACGUGCCAGCAGCCGCGGUAACACGUAGGUGGCAAGCGUUGUCCGGAUUUAUUGGGCGUAAAGCGAGCGCAGGCGGAAAAAUAAGUCUAAUGUGAAAGCCCUCGGCUUAACCGAGGAACUGCAUCGGAAACUGUUUUUCUUGAGUGCAUAAGAGGAGAGUGGAACUCCAUGUGUAGCGGUGGAAUGCGUAGAUAUAUGGAAGAACACCAGUGGCGAAGGCGGCUCUCUGGUCUGCAACUGACGCUGAGGCUCGAAAGCAUGGGUAGCGAACAGGAUUAGAUACCCUGGUAGUCCAUGCCGUAAACGAUGAGUGCUAAGU
This 668-nucleotide ribosomal RNA is filed under the name uncultured bacterium. RNAcentral's name for it is "bacterial SSU rRNA". It matches the Rfam family "Bacterial small subunit ribosomal RNA", at positions 167 to 821 of the family's 1533-position model. The record is from RNAcentral.